Molecule: microRNA precursor, 74 nt
Filed under: macacine gammaherpesvirus 12
Lineage: Duplodnaviria; Heunggongvirae; Peploviricota; Herviviricetes; Herpesvirales; Orthoherpesviridae
Description: miRc-N9
Source: RNAcentral
GUAUCAGACUGGAAAAGUUAAUGCCCUUUGCGUUAGCAGACACAGCGCAAGGCCUUAAUUUUUCCCGCCUGCUA